CCUGGCUCAGGACGAACGCUGGCGGCGUGCUUAACACAUGCAAGUCGAACGGAAAGGCCCUGCUUUUGUGGGGUGCUCGAGUGGCGAACGGGUGAGUAACACGUGAGUAACCUGCCCUUGACUUUGGGAUAACUUCAGGAAACUGGGGCUAAUACCGGAUAGGAGCUCCUGCUGCAUGGUGGGGGUUGGAAAGUUUCGGCGGUUGGGGAUGGACUCGCGGCUUAUCAGCUUGUUGGUGGGGUAGUGGCUUACCAAGGCUUUGACGGGUAGCCGGCCUGAGAGGGUGACCGGCCACAUUGGGACUGAGAUACGGCCCAGACUCCUACGGGAGGCAGCAGUGGGGAAUAUUGCACAAUGGGCGGAAGCCUGAUGCAGCAACGCCGCGUGCGGGAUGACGGCCUUCGGGUUGUAAACCGCUUUCGCCUGUGACGAAGCGUGAGUGACGGUAAUGGGUAAAGAAGCACCGGCUAACUACGUGCCAGCAGCCGCGGUGAUACGUAGGGUGCGAGCGUUGUCCGGAUUUAUUGGGCGUAAAGGGCUCGUAGGUGGUUGAUCGCGUCGGAAGUGUAAUCUUGGGGCUUAACCCUGAGCGUGCUUUCGAUACGGGUUGACUUGAGGAAGGUAGGGGAGAAUGGAAUUCCUGGUGGAGCGGUGGAAUGCGCAGAUAUCAGGAGGAACACCAGUGGCGAAGGCGGUUCUCUGGGCCUUUCCUGACGCUGAGGAGCGAAAGCGUGGGGAGCGAA
Molecule: ribosomal RNA, 743 nt
Filed under: uncultured bacterium
Lineage: Bacteria
Description: bacterial SSU rRNA
Rfam family: Bacterial small subunit ribosomal RNA
Source: RNAcentral